AUGGGAAUUGUAGUACAAGGAAUCUUUCACAAACUGUGCNGCAGGAUUUGCUGGGGGUCUAGCCUGCUCUUACAAGCUUACAAAGUGACUUCCUUGCUAUUUCAGAAUGCAGGCAAGAGGUUACCCCACUUUCAGAAAAUCCGUGUCUGGGCAGGCAGCAGCACAGAUGGGAUGCCGGGACACGCUCCUCCCUGUAUNCCCUUUGCCCAAUUUCUUUCUAAAGCCCUGGAGGUUGUGCCCCCCCCCAGGCAGAGCGGAGGGCCAAGGAACCCCCGGCACGGGACACACAACAGCAGUCCCUCGCAGCCUGCCGGCGCAGCCCUGAGGGCGCCCCCCCAGCGGCCAGCAAAACACUCCAGGAGAGGUUCCCUUUGCCUCCCGCCCCGACCCCCACGCAAAAAGCCAAAGCUAUCACCACAGUUCCUGGGGAAAAUACCUGCUCAUAUUUUUGUGGGGAUGCCGUAUUCCACAUCUGCAAUGCAUCCCUGGCUGGAAACCUGGGGAAGUGCAGAACAUCAGACAGCCAUCACCGAAAUAAUGCAGCUCUCCCUCCCUCUCUUUAGGGAACCUUUGCCAACUGCACUGCCGUGGACAAGCCCUUUCUGCUACGGAGCCCUGGGACCUUNUGAUGAAGGGCAGGAUGCAAAUCCUUCAAUAAAUAAGAGAAUCCCCCUUCCCUCCUUCACAGCUCUGCCCAGAAAAGACUCGGCCAGGGAAGCAGGAAGUCAGGGAACCUGAUCGGCAGGUCUUGGUUGGAGCCGCUCAGGCAGCAAGAAAUAUCCAGUUGUGCAAUUCUGUAACAGAUGGAGAGGCUGUUUCCGUCCGUGCUCCACCUGCCAAUAUCUGCCAACAGCAAACUGCUACAUGAAGAGCAACAAGAAGAGUUAGCACUAAGAAGGGGAAGUACUUGUUCACCCAGAGGGUCAGCAGUCUGUGGAAUUUACAGUCUGUGGAAUUUACAGCAGAGGUGGUGACAGCAGUCAGCCCGGAUGGCUUUAAGAAAGGACUGGACAGAUUCACCGAGGUCAGGUGUACCAGUGGCUACAGAAUGGAUGCCUCGGUACCACCUCCAGGUUGGAGAGGCAGGCAGGAGGCCUCUAAAGGCCACUUGCAGGGAGUGGAGAGCAGGGGAAGGUUUUGCCAUAAUAUUCCACUUAAAAAUGCCCAGAAGCAAUUGGUGGGGCACAANGUAAGACAGGAUGUGGCCUAAUCCAGCAGGGCUCCUCUUAUGUUCUCAGGCCUUUAACACAGAAUCUGGCAGGAGGUUCUGCGCCACUAAGGUCCUNUUGGCACUAGGCCUUAUUCUGGAAUAUAUCCCGGAAUANAUNCCUGNCGCCUACAUGCUGGCGCAGACUACAGAAGGCCCCUNUUCNGGAAUACAUGCUGGAAUACGGCCCAGUGCAGAAAGAGCCUAAGACUGAGCAGAUUGCCAUAAGGUGGUAGCAGCCCCCAUCAGGAGGCAGCUCCCCCAGGAAAGAGCNGAGCCCCUGAGUGGAGAGUCCUUGUGUUACAACACCCCACAGGUGGUGGAUGCAGUCUGUUCCACCUUCCGACCGCAAGACCGUGUGGCCAAAGCGGUGCAAAGGGCUGCUUGACAAUCUGCUUCAGGCCCAGGCAGGUCAUUCCUCAGGAGUCACGGUUUUCAUGAUUUGCAACAGCCUCUCUGUUCCUUGUGCAACCUAUUCUGGCUAAGCGGGGAAGUCACAGAAUCAUAGAGUUGGNAGGGACCUCCAGGGUC
Molecule: long non-coding RNA, 1738 nt
Organism: Salvator merianae (Argentine black and white tegu)
Lineage: Eukaryota; Metazoa; Chordata; Lepidosauria; Squamata; Teiidae
Source: Ensembl